UGUGUGUGUGAGGGAGGGAGGGCAGUACCUUACAAUACAAUUAAUUGUGAGAUAUUAUUUGGGACUGGAAAUAUGACAGAAAAACUCUUGGGCUAAUUUUGAUACACUCGAAAGUUCUUCUGAUUAAGUUAUUGUAUAAUCAAUUGAUCCUCAUACCUUGUUUCAAUAUUACAUCUGUUACAUAUAGUAAUGUUUUUCUUUUCCUGAUGUACAUGGUCAAGCAUGCUGAUGUCUGGGCUAAAGAGCUAGGUCUUAGUAAUGUGUAAGUGCCCAGACCAUUCUUCAGGAGAAAGCGUCAUACGAGACGGGUUGUACGAAAGCCUUUAGUAGAGUCCAUUGUGAACAAUUAAGUUCGGAGCAUCCAGGGGAAUUACUGCAAUCAUUCCAAGUUUCAUUGAGUACAUCAAGCAACUUAGAUGCUUAUGCAGAAAAUUAAAGCAAUACAGGCCUGUCCGCUUUAGAUUGAUUUGAAAAAAAUUGUCUGUAUUUAUUAUUGAAGACUAGUAAUAUGUAGAUUCUUGUUGCAAAAGAAGUUUUAUCUACAGUGAUGAAGGGUAGCUGUUGAGAAGCUCAAGAUCCUUAGAUUUGGAUUAUUUUGAGUUGGAUUUGUAAAUGAUAUGCAACACUUUACUUGCUUUUCAAAAAGCAUUAAAGGCCAUUUGACCAGCUACAUGGUACAAGACAAAAGUACUUGUGGCUGUAGAAUGUCACAAUUCGGCCAAAUGUAGUUUGAAAAGUAUUUAUAGAAAUAAAAAUGCAAAUAUUAUUGUUGGAUA
Molecule: long non-coding RNA, 776 nt
Organism: Rosa chinensis
Lineage: Eukaryota; Viridiplantae; Streptophyta; Magnoliopsida; Rosales; Rosaceae
Exons: 4
Source: RefSeq, a predicted model, not a curated record